This 89-nucleotide ribosomal RNA is filed under the name Escherichia coli. RNAcentral describes it as "partial 16S ribosomal RNA". The stretch from base 1 to 77 matches the Rfam family "Bacterial small subunit ribosomal RNA", at positions 1457 to 1533 of the family's 1533-position model. The record is from RNAcentral. Lineage: Bacteria; Pseudomonadati; Pseudomonadota; Gammaproteobacteria; Enterobacterales; Enterobacteriaceae.
CCACUUUGUGAUUCAUGACUGGGGUGAAGUCGUAACAAGGUAACCGUAGGGGAACCUGCGGUUGGAUCACCUCCUUAACUUAAAGAAGC